AGUGAACGCUGGCGGUAGGCCUAACACAUGCAAGUCGAACGGCAGCACAGUAAGAGCUUGCUCUUACGGGUGGCGAGUGGCGGACGGGUGAGGAAUACAUCGGAAUCUACUUUUUCGUGGGGGAUAACGUAGGGAAACUUACGCUAAUACCGCAUACGACCUACGGGUGAAAGCAGGGGAUCUUCGGACCUUGCGCGAUUGAAUGAGCCGAUGUCGGAUUAGCUAGUUGGCGGGGUAAAGGCCCACCAAGGCGACGAUCCGUAGCUGGUCUGAGGGGAUGAUCAGCCACACUGGAACUGAGACACGGUCCCGACUCCUACGGGAGGCAGCAGUGGGGAAUAUUGGACAAUGGGCGCAAGCCUGAUCCAGCCAUACCGCGUGGGUGAAGAAGGCCUUCGGGUUGUAAAGCCCUUUUGUUGGGAAAGAAAAGCAGCAGGUUAAUACCCCGCUGUUCUGACGGUACCCAAAGAAUAAGCACCGGCUAACUUCGUG
RNAcentral lists this ribosomal RNA (492 nucleotides) under uncultured bacterium. Its description in RNAcentral is "partial 16S ribosomal RNA". It matches the Rfam family "Bacterial small subunit ribosomal RNA", at positions 29 to 507 of the family's 1533-position model. The record is from RNAcentral.